Molecule: long non-coding RNA, 428 nt
Organism: Pimephales promelas (fathead minnow)
Lineage: Eukaryota; Metazoa; Chordata; Actinopteri; Cypriniformes; Leuciscidae
Source: RefSeq, a predicted model, not a curated record
ACUUCAGUUUAAGAGGAAUAACAGGUAGCACAAAAUGUGCAGUCUUUAUAAACACAGUAGCCAAACUGGAAUUUAGCUUUCAAAAGCAACUCUUCUUAAUAUUUGUCUUCAUGAAGAACACAGUAUUUCAACAUCUGAGUCUGAUCUAACAUCUGUUAUUGUUCAAGUUUCUUCACAGCGGGUCACUUCUACAACUUCUCGUUCUACAUCCACUGUUCCUUUAAACACGGUCACUUCCACAACAUCUACUACUCCCACUACUACUACAGGUCCUUUAGCGUCAAUCACUUCCACAACAUCUACCAGUCAUACUUCUUCAGGUUAGUGUAAUAUUGGAUUUCAUCCAAGUUUGUUUUUGGUGACAACAUAUGUUAUACAACCACAGACAACAAUUAUUUUAACGACGGGCAGUUUGCACAGAAAUGUAA